RNAcentral lists this ribosomal RNA (492 nucleotides) under uncultured bacterium. RNAcentral describes it as "partial 16S ribosomal RNA". It matches the Rfam family "Bacterial small subunit ribosomal RNA", at positions 29 to 507 of the family's 1533-position model. The record is from RNAcentral.
AGUGAACGCUGGCGGUAGGCCUAACACAUGCAAGUCGAACGGCAGCACAGUAAGAGCUUGCUCUUACGGGUGGCGAGUGGCGGACGGGUGAGGAAUACAUCGGAAUCUACUUUUUCGUGGGGGAUAACGUAGGGAAACUUACGCUAAUACCGCAUACGACCUACGGGUGAAAGCAGGGGAUCUUCUGACCUUGCGCGAUUGAAUGAGCCGAUGUCGGAUUAGCUAGUUGGCGGGGUAAAGGCCCACCAAGGCGACGAUCCGUAGCUGGACUGAGAGGAUGAUCAGCCACACUGGAACUGAGACACGGUCCAGACUCCUGCGGGAGGCAGCAGUGGGGAAUAUUGGACAAUGGGCGCAAGCCUGAUCCAGCCAUACCGCGUGGGUGAAGAAGGCCUUCGGGUUGUAAAGCCCUUUUGUUGGGAAAGAAAAGCAGCAGGUUAAUACCCCGCUGUUCUGACGGUACCCAAAGAAUAAGCACCGGCUAACUUCGUG